UGACCUGCAGCCUCCAGCAGUGCUGUCACCUUGUACCAAGUCCACGCACCGUGGCACAGGCCAUGGACGAGCACAAACCUUUUCUGGUUGUUCUUCUCCAUUAUCUUUUUUACUUUCAGCAUCUUGUGGUUCAACACUUAUAAAUUAUUAAGUUUCCCGCAUUUACUAUUUGGAUGGUGACUAAUAGAUUUUGGUCAUUGUCUGACAUCUAUUAGAAUUCUAAACCAGACACUAUAUUGACCAUUAGUUUUUUUAUUUAUUUGUUUCAACCAUCGAAAGCAAUAAAUUCUAACCUUCUGCAGCAAACACUUAAGUGCAUCAAAACCUCGUACAUUUGCAUUGGUAGGCUUGAAGGCUCUGAUACCGUAUAGAUUUAGAUAGAAGCAUCUUUCUUUUCAUGAAAUCAAGACGCUUUGUAAUUUCUUUAAAGGUCAUUACAGUAUUCAUUACCAUUCUUGCAUACAGGUCUUACAUGAAUCUUUAAUCGUUUGUUCUUAUGAAUCUUUAUUCUCAUAUGGUUGGUUGUUGUGGUGGAAGCUGAAGUUGGUUAUUUAUUUGCAGUGACAAUCUCAGGUUUACUUAGGCGUAUUCAUCUGCAAUCUCCAAGAGAAGAGCACAUAGUUCUUUAGGCCUGGAAGACAUUGCCAUAUGAUCUGCAUCUUGGAUCUCCAUUACUUCUUUCACUUGAAAGUUACUGAUCAUCCAACGUUGGUAUUCCUCAGGUAAUAUAUUAUCCUCUCCACAUAUGAUAUAAAUACGUGUAACCGAUCCAUACCCUCCCUCAGUAAAACUUCUUGUCCCUGUCAGAUUGGUCGUAACCACCGGGUUCACCCUUACCAACAAUUUCGCCAAUACAAGAUCCUAACCGUUGAGAACAGAGAAUAGAAAAAGAUUGACUGGUUACUAGCAAUCUCAUUUGUUAGAAUAAGGUAUGAUUAGGCUUGGAGUCUUACUUCU
RNAcentral lists this long non-coding RNA (957 nucleotides) under Capsella rubella. RNAcentral describes it as "long non-coding RNA (CRUB_LNC002950)". Lineage: Eukaryota; Viridiplantae; Streptophyta; Magnoliopsida; Brassicales; Brassicaceae. The record is from RNAcentral.